GACGAACGCUGGCGGCGUGCCUAAUACAUGCAAGUUGAGCGCUGAAGGUUGGUACUUGUACCAACUGGAUGAGCAGCGAACGGGUGAGUAACGCGUGGGGAAUCUGCCUUUGAGCGGGGGACAACAUUUGGAAACGAAUGCUAAUACCGCAUAAAAACUUUAAACACAAGUUUUAAGUUUGAAAGAUGCAAUUGCAUCACUCAAAGAUGAUCCCGCGUUGUAUUAGCUAGUUGGUGAGGUAAAGGCUCACCAAGGCGAUGAUACGUAGCCGACCUGAGAGGGUGAGCGGCCAGAUUGGGACUGAGACACGGCACAAACUCCGACGGGAGGCAGCAGUAGGGAAUCGGCGGCAAUGGACGAAAGUCUGACCGAGCAACGCCGCGUGAGUGAAGAAGGUUGUCGGAUCGUAAAACUCUGUUGGUAGAGAAGAACGUUGGUGAGAGUGGAAAGCUCAUCAAGUGACGGUAACUACCCAGAAAGGGACGGCUAACUACGUG
Molecule: ribosomal RNA, 497 nt
Filed under: uncultured bacterium
Lineage: Bacteria
Description: partial 16S ribosomal RNA
Rfam family: Bacterial small subunit ribosomal RNA
Source: RNAcentral